GAUGAAGAACGGAGCGAAAUGCGAUAAGUAGUGUGAAUUGCAGAAUUCAGUGAAUCAUCGAAUCUUUGAACGCACAUUGCGCCCCUCGGUAUUCCGUGGGGCAUGCCUGUUCGAGCGUCAUUUAACCCCUCAAGCCUAGCUUGGUAUUGGGUGCUUGUCCCGCCUCUCGCGCGGCGACUCACCUCAAAGUCAUUGGCAGCCCGCAUCUCGCCGGCCGUGAGCGCAGCACAGACGCGCUCUUGGCAACGACGGAUCGGCUCUCCAAAAGCUUAUUUCAACCACUGACCUCGGAUCAGGUAGGGAUACCCGCUGAACUUAAGCAUAUCAAUAAGCGGAGGA
RNAcentral lists this unclassified non-coding RNA (339 nucleotides) under soil metagenome. RNAcentral's name for it is "partial contains 5.8S ribosomal RNA, internal transcribed spacer 2, and large subunit ribosomal RNA". The stretch from base 1 to 120 matches the Rfam family "5.8S ribosomal RNA", at positions 35 to 154 of the family's 154-position model. The record is from RNAcentral.